This 301-nucleotide ribosomal RNA is filed under the name uncultured bacterium. RNAcentral describes it as "partial 16S ribosomal RNA". It matches the Rfam family "Bacterial small subunit ribosomal RNA", at positions 509 to 807 of the family's 1533-position model. The record is from RNAcentral.
CAGUAGCCACGGGAAUACAGAGGGUGCAAGCGUUAAUCGGAAUUACUGGGCGUAAAGCGCGAGUAGGUGGUUUGUUAAGUUGGAUGUGAAAUCCCCGGGCUCAACCUGGGAACUGCAUCCAAAACUGGCAAGCUAGAGUAUGGUAGAGGGUGGUGGAAUUUCCUGUGUAGCGGUGAAAUGCGUAGAUAUAGGAAGGAACACCAGUGGCGAAGGCGACCACCUGGACUGAUACUGACACUGAGGUGCGAAAGCGUGGGGAGCAAACAGGAUUAGAUACCCCUGUAGUCCCUGUCUCUUAUAC